UUCAUGUGUCAGACUAUGGCCUUGCCAAGUAGCAGGGACCAGACCAAACUGUGGAGUCCCGUCUACUUUGGAAGAGCCAAUUCAGCAUUUACAAUAUUUCUGCAUGCCCAUCACACCGCCAGAAAAAACAGUAUUUCAGGAGGCCAGUACCAGCAGACUGCUGCACUGAAGAGGUGGGAGAAUGAGGACUCAGAGCUAGGACACUGCUGACAUCCCAGCACUGGACCACAGCAGCAGGUGGGGCCCUGCAAUCUGCAUCUGCAGCAUAUAUCUGGAAAGGUAGACCUAAGACCACCUUAAGAAACACAUAACAGGGAUUUGGGAGGCAGACAAGAAGAUUGAAUUAUAGGAAAUACGAUAUUGAUUUUUGAAAAUGGAAGUAAGAUUGAUUCUGGCCAGUACUUCAGGUGCAAGGAAGAAAUGCCAACAGUAAGACCUCAUCUACAAGCCCUGUUAAAGAAGUGCCUCGGCGAAAAGAGCGGCAAGACCAGAGCACAUCACUUCCCAGGCCAUUGUACACCCAGUAAUGGGUCAACUUGGAAACAGAAAGGCCUGGCCUCCUCACUCUAACUUGGGAUAAUUCUAAAGGGACUUGCCAGAUUUAGAUCUUCCCUUGAGGUCGUCUGGGUCUUCAUGAGCACUGUGUCGCACUUCAACUUCUUCCUUCGCGCAAUCCUGCUUCUCAUCCAUCCCUUCCACAGGUAUUGAUAUCAAGAAUACAACCUAAUA
Molecule: long non-coding RNA, 729 nt
Organism: Suricata suricatta (meerkat)
Lineage: Eukaryota; Metazoa; Chordata; Mammalia; Carnivora; Herpestidae
Exons: 5
Source: RefSeq, a predicted model, not a curated record